UGAAGAGAAAAUUUGAUAAAAAUAAUUGGUCAGUUGUAAAAAUGGUUAACUACCCAACUGGUAAGAGAGAUUUCUAAGAGUUACAGAAUAGCAACUGCAGGAAGGAACUUGUGCCCUUAGGACUGAGGAAGUAAAAAGGAAGGAAACUUGGAAACACGGAAGAGCCCUUCCCCUUUCAAUUCAAGGUGGAGACUGGACCUCAGAAGAGGGAGUGGGUGCCCCGAGAACUCACAGCUAGUGGACAGCGGAAAGGGCAGGAGCCGGACCAAGGUGAGGACAGCGGAACUGAAGGCCGCUGGUUACCUCUCCUGCCCUCUGCUGGCCACAGUGGAGAAGACAGCCCCUCCCUCCUGCUCUGACCUGACAGUGUUCAUCCAUCGCCCUGUAUUAGCGAAGAACAACAUCAAGCUGGCUAGCAAGGAACUGUAUACAGGGUCCAGCUGGGUAUCACACUGGAUCUCACCCAAAGCUGAGAUGUGAUCCAGCUCCGUAUCACAAAGCAGAACGAAAAGGAUGUGUUUGGGCUGAGAGGCCAUACAUUGGCUCCGGCACGACGGGUGGCUUCUGCAGCACACAGGGCUUCGCCAGCACCCAGCUCCUGCAGCAUGGGCAGCUCCUGUGACAGCAGGCGCCCACAGCCUGCAAAGCGUCUCCAGUGCCGCCGCCUCAGUGAACCGCAACCAGCGGCACCUAGCAGCUUUCUCCGCCACCCUCUUCAGGUCUGGAUCUAAGCCCAGGGACCAGGAAACCUCUUGCUUGAGUGCUGGAACUCAGGCCAGAAGGCAGGAAGCCCGCCUGACCCCACGUCUCAGGCUGCCAGAGGAGCGUGCGAUGAGGAAGGCUGGACUGUCUUCACAGGACACCAGAGAGAAGCCUCAAGCCACUGCCCCCUGACAAGUCUCAGCUCUCCAGCCUGUCUCCUCACUCCCCUCCCCUCCACAUGGGGGGGUUGGGGUGGGGGCGGGGAAGGUUCGGGGCAGGGGUCAUUUCAGCUACUGGGCACCAGUCUCCUCCUCAUGUUUAUCCUGUUCCCUUUGCUUGAAAGGUUCGUACUCCAGAUCCUUGUAAAACCGCUUCUCACCCUUUGAGUCUCAGCUUAAAUGUCCCCUCCUUGGAGGGGUCUUCCCUGACAAUGAAGCUCCGACCGUCCUCUCCUGUUUUACCCAGUUCAUUUCUUUCUGGCAUUUGUAACUACUUGAAGUUAAAGUGUGUGCCAUGUAUGUGUCUGUCAGUUUCCCCCACCACACUGGAACCCCAUGAGGGCAAGGGUCUUGUCUGGAAUCUUCCUCACUUACAACUCAACAUUUAGCAAAGGACCUUUGCUAAAUUAACAGGCAUUCAUUUUGUAUUUGAAAAAUGAACGAGUGAGGCCGGGCGUGGUGGCUCACACCUGCAAUCCCGGCACUUUGGGAGACCGAGGCGGGCUUGAGGUCAGGAGUUCGAGACCGGCCUGGCCAACAUGGUGAAACCCCAUUAAAAAUACAAAAAUUGGCUGGGCGUGGUGGCUCACGCCUGUAAUCCCAACACUUUGGGAGGCUGAAGCGGGC
RNAcentral lists this long non-coding RNA (1547 nucleotides) under Pan troglodytes (chimpanzee). Its description in RNAcentral is "long non-coding RNA NONPTRT006189". Lineage: Eukaryota; Metazoa; Chordata; Mammalia; Primates; Hominidae. The record is from RNAcentral.